This 108-nucleotide microRNA precursor is filed under the name Canis lupus familiaris (dog). RNAcentral describes it as "mir-8834 microRNA precursor family". It matches the Rfam family "mir-8834 microRNA precursor family". Lineage: Eukaryota; Metazoa; Chordata; Mammalia; Carnivora; Canidae. The record is from Rfam by way of RNAcentral. RNAcentral also lists the same sequence under 1 other name.
UGGAGGAAUAACCCCAGUGGCUGCGGCAGCUCUGGAAACCUGGAUUCAGCUCCCGCAGGAACUAUGGAGCUCUCUCAGUCUGCAGGGGCUUGGAGGCCCCUGGUGGGG